RNAcentral lists this ribosomal RNA (47 nucleotides) under Mortierella alpina. RNAcentral's name for it is "partial 28S ribosomal RNA". The record is from RNAcentral. Lineage: Eukaryota; Fungi; Mortierellomycota; Mortierellomycetes; Mortierellales; Mortierellaceae.
UCGAUCUCAAAUCAAGUAAGACUACCCGCUGAACUUAAGCAUAUCAA